AGCGAACGUUUGCGGCGGGCCUAACACAUGCAAGUCGAACGCACUAGCAAUAGUGAGUGGCGCACGGGUGCGUAACACGUGGGUAAUCAACCCUUCAGCUUGGGAUAACGACUUGAAAGGGUCGCUAAUACCGGAUACGGCGCGAGAGGCUUCGGCUUCUCACGAGAAAGCCUCGCAAGGGGCACUGAAGGACGAGCCUGCGGCCCAUCAGCUAGUUGGUGAGGUAAGAGCUCACCAAGGCUAAGACGGGUAGCUGGUCUGAGAGGAUGAUCAGCCACACUGGAACUGAGACACGGUCCAGACUCCUACGGGAGGCAGCAGUGGGGAAUAUUGCGCAAUGGGCGAAAGCCUGACGCAGCCACGCCGCGUGAGCGAAGAAGCCCCUUGGGGUGUAAAGCUCUGUCAGCUGGAACGAAAAAAUGACGGUACCAGCAGAGGAAGCAUCGGCUAACUACGUGCCAGCAGCCGCGGUAAUGUAGUCG
Molecule: ribosomal RNA, 482 nt
Filed under: uncultured bacterium
Lineage: Bacteria
Description: bacterial SSU rRNA
Rfam family: Bacterial small subunit ribosomal RNA
Source: RNAcentral